This is a non-coding RNA of Acanthosepion pharaonis, 95 nucleotides long. The record is from the annotation of a GenBank genome assembly. Lineage: Eukaryota; Metazoa; Mollusca; Cephalopoda; Sepiida; Sepiidae.
ACGUUGAAACACCAGUUCCCGUACAAUUACCGAAGUUAAGCAAUGUCGAGCCUGGUCAGUGCCUAGAUGGGUAACCACUUGGGAAUACCAGGUGC